CUUCCCAUAACUGUCAGCAACCUGUUUUACCGCUAGUUGCCUAUAGAUGGCGAUCUUCCUCCAUAUUUGCCAUGUGUCCUGUAUCUCUGAGUUAGUGCACCAGUAUAGUUUUAACUGGAAGAUAUUUUCCUGUCCCCCUUUUUCCUUGUAGACCACACACACACACACACACACACACAUGCCUUUGUUACCUUCAUAAUGUAAAUAAUUGGAAACCUACUGAAGAAUAUUUUAUUUGGAAUUGCAUUCAAUUGUACCCUGGUGCUUUGCUGUGCUGCAUUCAUUGUAUUACCUUAUAUUGAAGAAAAGGCCAGUGAAUUCCUUUUAUUCCACAUGUCCAUACACCAAGGAGACGCGCACGUAUUUUCCAAUUUUCCUAAUACAGUCCACCCAUUAGUUACUGAGCUAUGCCCGUUGUAAUAGCUCGUGCCUAGCUGGAUCGAUGCCGCGUGAAGAGCGGACAUGCUUUGUUUUGUCAGCGAACACACAUGGUGGUGGUCAGCUAAUGUCUCUAGAUUCAGCUCUCAGUCAGAUGGAGUAGCAGCAGCUAUCACUGUAGACCAAACAAGAACAUUGCUUGUGUGGUUGUGCAUCAAAGGAAAACGUUAAAUGCAAAAUUCCAAAUCGCAUAGGCAUGAACCCAUUGAACUGUGCAUACAAAAUGUUAAUGUGUAGAGUAAAAUGGUGCAGGUUAAGGGCAUUAAAGAUCCAUUUUGCCAAAUUAAUUGAACAGGCUAAUGGCUAAAACGGAAUAAAAAAAGGUUUUUGAAGGUUGAAUUUGUGUUGAAAUAAUGUUCAGAUUAUCCUCAUGCACUUAGUACACUAUCACAGAGUAAUUUAAUCAUCUGAUGCAUGUCCUUAUCUUGUCCCCUCCCCCUUCUCCCUUCUUUUUCUAGCUGUUCGUGCAAGAGCAUUUUUAAGUGAACUUGGUGCACGCAUCACAGGGACCCAAGUGGUUGAACAGCACAGAAAACAUUGUUUGAGCAGUGAAAGUGUGAUUCAAAGCAGAUGAUUUUAACAGCACCACGAGACAAACAGUUCAGCGGCACAGAGAACAGUGUUCAUGCAAGAUCCUUUGUAAGUGAACUUGGCGCACGUGGCAUUCAACACAGCUGAGUGGGAUACCAAGCAUAAAACGGCACAGAAAAUAGUGAGUUUUGUUUCCAAAAUUUUAAAUUAAAAAAGAUAAAGGAGUAAAGUUUUAUUUUUAUUUUUUUCCUAAUA
Long non-coding RNA from Engraulis encrasicolus (European anchovy), 1224 nucleotides. RefSeq lists it as uncharacterized. NCBI's taxonomy places the organism in Eukaryota, Metazoa, Chordata, Actinopteri, Clupeiformes, Engraulidae. The record is from RefSeq and is a predicted model, not a curated record. The transcript is spliced from 3 exons.